RNAcentral lists this long non-coding RNA (1091 nucleotides) under Sus scrofa (pig). RNAcentral describes it as "lncRNA (ENSSSCG00015069210.1)". Lineage: Eukaryota; Metazoa; Chordata; Mammalia; Artiodactyla; Suidae. The record is from RNAcentral.
GGAAAAUCCGUUUUCAUGGCAACACGGAGCCUCUCCAAGUGAAAGAAAAGUUUCUUGGAGGGGGGGACGGUGGCCAGAGAGGAGCCGAGGCCGUCCUCGGGGCGAACCUCCGGGCCCCCUCCACUGGCCGCGCACCUGCCAGGACCACUGAGCGCUGCUCUCGCCGCGCAGCCGCGCCGCCUCCCCGGGAAGCAAGCUCUGUUAACGGACUCCGUCCUUCUCNCUUUUUUUUUUUUUUUUUUUUGUUUUUUGUUUUUUUUGUUUUGUUUUGUUUUGUUUUACAGCCUUCCUGACCGGAGGCUCCGAGCCCGACACUCACCCGCUUGUCGGGUUGUCUGCCAAAGACUAGAGGCGCGGGAACCCUGGCUGCGGGGAGAGGGAACCCAGACUAUCGCCUCCGCCAGCCCAAGCGAGUGGCACAGCGUUUGAAACUCCCGGAGCUGCCCGAGUCGACGGGUGGGAAGGAGAAGCCAGCUGGGCAGGAAUGGCAGAGACUGAAAUAAGGUGUUCGCACGGUGUGGCCCACCAACUCCCCAGCCUCCUGCAAAGGCGUGGAGCAACUACGAGGAAUUUGACAACCUUUGCCUUCGGCGCCCUCUUGCCGACCCCACAACCCGAACACCACUACCUCCCCGAAGGAAGGACCGCUCCGUCCCGGAGUUGGGUCCCACUAGCAGAGCGUCUUCCGGGUCACUGCCGUCGACCUCUGGGCUUUGCUCCCUCCUCCCCGCCCACAGCUCCCCGCACGCGCCUGGCUCGCGGGGCUGCCAAACCCGCCCCCCUGCGGAGCAGCCUCGGGCACCCGGCACCCUACGGCCCAGCCCGCCCUCCCACGGGGCCUGCCGUCUUUUCCACUUCCGCGUGUGGCUGCAAAGGCGCGGCCCUCCACAGCGGUGAGGUGGCCUGCCAGAAGCCGGGGCCGGGAAAACAGUCGAAAAAUCGUUAUCAGUACGUAAUGUCGCUUGCGUUGCUUCCACGUCGCACAGUUCCACCCGUUUAUUCAGACUGGGGGGCGCGGGCCCUUCGGGCGGGGCAGUGCAUCCCGGGGAAGGGCGCACGUAAAGCCACUGCACCUCCGGGCACCUCCAGGG